Molecule: ribosomal RNA, 429 nt
Filed under: Gemmatimonadota bacterium
Lineage: Bacteria; Pseudomonadati; Gemmatimonadota
Description: Gemmatimonadetes bacterium partial 16S ribosomal RNA
Rfam family: Bacterial small subunit ribosomal RNA
Source: RNAcentral
UAGGGAAUCUUCGGCAAUGGACGAAAGUCUGACCGAGCAACGCCGCGUGAGUGAAGAAGGUUUUCGGAUCGUAAAACUCUGUUGUUAGAGAAGAACAAGGACGUUAGUAACUGAACGUCCCCUGACGGUAUCUAACCAGAAAGCCACGGCUAACUACGUGCCAGCAGCAGCGGUAAUACGUAGGUGGCAAGCGUUGUCCGGAUUUAUUGGGCGUAAAGCGAGCGCAGGCGGUUUCUUAAGUCUGAUGUGAAAGCCCCCGGCUCAACCGGGGAGGGUCAUUGGAAACUGGGAGACUUGAGUGCAGAAGAGGAGAGUGGAAUUCCAUGUGUAGCGGUGAAAUGCGUAGAUAUAUGGAGGAACACCAGUGGCGAAGGCGGCUCUCUGGUCUGUAACUGACGCUGAGGCUCGAAAGCGUGGGGAGCAAACAGG